CGGGGGAUAGGAUAAGUUAAAAUCCGGCGGGUUCAUACCCCGCAUAUACCGCUGGUUCCCCCGU
Molecule: transfer RNA, 64 nt
Filed under: Acanthocardia tuberculata (tuberculate cockle)
Lineage: Eukaryota; Metazoa; Mollusca; Bivalvia; Cardiida; Cardiidae
Description: tRNA-Met
Source: RNAcentral